Molecule: long non-coding RNA, 497 nt
Organism: Quercus robur (English oak)
Lineage: Eukaryota; Viridiplantae; Streptophyta; Magnoliopsida; Fagales; Fagaceae
Exons: 2
Source: RefSeq, a predicted model, not a curated record
GGUGAACUGAUUACCUUCAAGAAGUUCUCGUGUUUUCAGUUUCCACGAUGAGUGGCUUUCCGGCAAAGUUGAUGGCAGCAGUAGUGUUAAUAUUCCUUCUUGUGGGUGAUUUUCCAGCAACUUCUGCAUCAUUUCCUUGCGGUAUUGGGAAGAGUUCAUUUCUUGCAUCUGUCCGCCAAGAUGGUUCAAUGAAGACACUCCCAUUAGAAGAAGGCAGCUCUAAAGGUUUGAACAUUAAAAGUAAGAAAAUCGUUUUCUCCCGGAGCCUACGAGUGUCUCAACCGCCACCUGUACGCCCAGGAAAUCCAGGACCACAUCCAGGACAUGGUUAAAACUUAGAUGCAGUAAUUUAGGUGCAAUACAUUAAGCUCAUCAAUUGGACUAAAAUAUUUUGUUGUUUUGAAUUUAAUUAUUUUUAGAAAAAAAGAAAUACUAUUUUUAGGUGGUUCCUCAUCUUUGCCUGAUGGUUUGAUUGUAUAAAAUUCCACAUUCUUGUU